CCAUCCUCCCCACAAACGGUGCCGUACGAGGAUCAGUAGCCAGCUGUUGGUCCACGGAGAGCAGCCCCUUGUUCUUCAGCAGGCCCUUGUAGUACAUAUUGUCCAGAAUCAUCGGCGUCUCACGGUCGUUCCUUGAGUACAAGACCGCAUUUGGGUCCGGGUUGGGGCUCGGGCAACGGGCCUUUAGGUAGCUAGCGUAGACCGGGUCCAGAGCCGGGUCCACGGCGGGAUAGAGUCGGCCCACCAAGUUGACGCAGUGGACCCGGCCCACCGAGUGGGCCCCCAAGAGAGCGACGGUGCCUUCUACGUCGAUGCCCAUGGAUUGAAAUCGGGUGAGUACGGCAGAGAUAGAGUCGUUGUGGUUUGGGAUGGAGCUUUCUACUUCUGCUAAGUAGCU
RNAcentral lists this long non-coding RNA (397 nucleotides) under Linum usitatissimum (flax). RNAcentral describes it as "long non-coding RNA (LUSI_LNC006866)". The record is from RNAcentral. Lineage: Eukaryota; Viridiplantae; Streptophyta; Magnoliopsida; Malpighiales; Linaceae.